This is a long non-coding RNA of Xiphophorus maculatus (southern platyfish), 399 nucleotides long. RefSeq lists it as uncharacterized. The record is from RefSeq and is a predicted model, not a curated record. Lineage: Eukaryota; Metazoa; Chordata; Actinopteri; Cyprinodontiformes; Poeciliidae. The transcript is spliced from 3 exons.
UAAAUGAAAGAGUGUUACGUUUUCAAAGUACCGGUGAGGUGACUGCUUAUUAAUACGUUUAAAUAAGCAGCCGACGUAAAUAGUGACCUUUCACUUUUGAGAGCCUUUGUUAUCUGCUGCUAAUAUUAGCAUGUGAGACGUGCUAGCCAAGAUGGACGGGCUGCUUUCAGGCUUAUCUCUGCCAUAAACGGUCAGAACAAAGACAUGCAAGCAGACCAAACAGCAGCAACUCAUGGGUGCUGCUGCAGUAACAGCAGCUCCAGCGCUGCGCCGAGGACACAUAAAACAUGAUGCACCGAGAAAUAACGACAAACUCACAAAUCCAAGAGCCUUCAUUCCAAGCUGAAACCUGUGUUCCCCAACCCUGGUCCUCAAGGCCCACUACCCUGCAUGUUUUAG